This 540-nucleotide ribosomal RNA is filed under the name Halomonas sp. 26L. Its description in RNAcentral is "bacterial SSU rRNA". It matches the Rfam family "Bacterial small subunit ribosomal RNA", at positions 162 to 703 of the family's 1533-position model. Lineage: Bacteria; Pseudomonadati; Pseudomonadota; Gammaproteobacteria; Oceanospirillales; Halomonadaceae. The record is from RNAcentral.
GCUAAUACCGCAUACGUCCUACGGGAGAAAGGGGGCUUAGGCUCCCGCUAUUGGAUGAGCCUAUGUCGGAUUANCUGGUUGGUGAGGUAAUGGCUCACCAAGGCGACGAUCCGUACCUGGUCUGAGAGGAUGAUCAGCCACAUCGGGACUGAGACACGGCCCGAACUCCUACGGGAGGCAGCAGUGGGGAAUAUUGGACAAUGGGGGCAACCCUGAUCCAGCCAUGCCGCGUGUGUGAAGAAGGCCCUCGGGUUGUAAAGCACUUUCAGCGAGGAAGAACGCCUAUCGGUUAAUACCCGAUAGGAGAGACAUCACUCGCAGAAGAAGCACCGGCUAACUCCGUGCCAGCAGCCGCGGUAAUACGGAGGGUGCAAGCGUUAAUCGGAAUUACUGGGCGUAAAGCGCGCGUAGGUGGCUUGAUAAGCCGGUUGUGAAAGCCCCGGGCUCAACCUGGGAACGGCAUCCGGAACUAUUAAGCUAGAGUGCAGGAGAGGAAGGUGGAAUUCCCGGUGUAGCGGUGAAAUGCGUAGAGAUCGGGAG